RNAcentral lists this ribosomal RNA (304 nucleotides) under Klebsiella pneumoniae. RNAcentral's name for it is "partial 23S ribosomal RNA". It matches the Rfam family "Bacterial large subunit ribosomal RNA", at positions 2061 to 2364 of the family's 2925-position model. Lineage: Bacteria; Pseudomonadati; Pseudomonadota; Gammaproteobacteria; Enterobacterales; Enterobacteriaceae. The record is from RNAcentral.
GCAGUGUACCCGCGGCAAGACGGAAAGACCCCGUGAACCUUUACUAUAGCUUGACACUGAACAUUGAGCCUUGAUGUGUAGGAUAGGUGGGAGGCUUUGAAGCGUGGACGCCAGUCUGCGUGGAGCCAACCUUGAAAUACCACCCUUUAAUGUUUGAUGUUCUAACGUUGGCCCCUUACCGGGGUUGCGGACAGUGUCUGGUGGGUAGUUUGACUGGGGCGGUCUCCUCCCAAAGCGUAACGGAGGAGCACGAAGGUUAGCUAAUCCUGGUCGGACAUCAGGAGGUUAGUGCAAUGGCAUAAGC